Non-coding RNA from Heterocephalus glaber (naked mole-rat), 71 nucleotides. Lineage: Eukaryota; Metazoa; Chordata; Mammalia; Rodentia; Bathyergidae. The record is from Rfam.
AGGAGUGUAGUUCAGUGUUAGAGUGCUUGCCUAGCAUGCAUAAGGCCUGGGUUCUAUCCCCAGCACCCCCC